CCUACGGGGCGCACCAGUGGGGAAUAUUGCACAAUGGGCGCAAGCCUGAUGCAGCCAUGCCGCGUGUAUGAAGAAGGCCUUCGGGUUGUAAAGCACUUUCAGCGGGGAGGAAGGCGGUGAGGUUAAUAACCUCACCGAUUGACGUUACCCGCAGAAGAAGCACCGGCUAACUCCGUGCCAGCAGCCGCGGCAAUACGGAGGGUGCAAGCGUUAAUCGGAAUUACUGGGCGUAAAGCGCACGCAGGCGGUCUGUCAAGUCGGAUGUGAAAUCCCCGGGUUCAACCUGGGAACUGCAUUCGGAACUGGCAGGCUAGAGUCUUGUAGAGGGGGGUAGAAUUCCAGGUGUAGCGGUGAAAUGCGUAGAGAUCUGGAGGAAUACCGGUGGCGAAGGCGGCCCCCUGGACAAAGACUGACGCUCAGGUGCGAAAGCGUGGGGAGCAAACAGGAUGAGAUACCCGUGUAGUC
RNAcentral lists this ribosomal RNA (465 nucleotides) under uncultured bacterium. RNAcentral describes it as "bacterial SSU rRNA". It matches the Rfam family "Bacterial small subunit ribosomal RNA", at positions 338 to 795 of the family's 1533-position model. The record is from RNAcentral.